AGAGGAUUCCGGUAUUGUUACCCUGUGCAAAAAACAGAAAAGUUUGAAAUAAUAAGCGAACUUAUACCCAGAAGAACAAAGUUGAAGGAGGAAGCCAACUGAGUCGAACGAAAGGGUCGGAUAACAUUCACCUGUGAUUCGAUUAUCCUGCAGAACAACGACCCCAGAGCACUGUGUGAAGCUCCAACGUUUUGAACGGGGAUCGGGACGAGUUGGAGCUAAAACUUCUGUUUGAAUCAUAAAAGAAGUGACGUUAAAUAGAAGAGUAACGGAGAAAAUAGGAAGAUAACCAGUAGGACGAGCAAAGGACGAAGAGAAAGCAACACCAGCGGAUCCAUCCUUCGAUAAACUCUCGGUCUCUACUUUUCUGCUCUUCGUUUAUAUUUUUUUUAUGAUCAAGACAUGCAUGUAAGUGUGAUUAAGAACCAUCGAAGGUUAAAUCUUACUCUGUGUUGUCUUUAACCCGAGAUUUAACCUUGGCCUUCCAUGGAAACUCUUCUUAUAUGAAGCAGUUUGCUUGUUUCAGUUAGAUCAGGAUCUGUUUUAGGAGUAGUUGUUUAGUAUAGGUUUUGGCAGAAUCAAGGUUUAAGUUUUCGAUUAGAGAAAUCGGUAGGUUUAUAAAAGGAAUUGGUUUUGGAUUCGAGCUUAGUGAUGAAUUCAAGGGUGGGUUUGUGUUGAUAUUUUCGUGUUUAAGGGAUGGCGCUGCCACUCCUCUCCGACGAUGGCCAGUGGAAGAAGGCAACCGGAGCGAGAAGAGGGAAAAGCGUUUCCAGAACCGUGUUAUGUUUGUUUUUAUGCAUUAUGAUUUGUUUUGAUUAAAUUAAAUUGGCAUUAAUUAGGAUUAUGUGUGUAAUCAUUUGUUUGGUCUUCCCAAAUAUUAUUUUUGGACUAAGCAUUGGUUACUGUGGGUUGGGAUAUUUAUUCUGUUUUGAAAUUUUGAAAGGAAAUUGAUUAAGGAAAAUGUAACACUCAAAGGCCAUUUACUGUUAUUAUUGGGAAUCAAGUGUCGCAUUAGCCUACCAUGGUUGCAUUUGCAUUGCCAUUUUAUUAUUACUUUUAUCUUAAACGUAUUAUGACUUUAAGUGUAUAUGUUUGGACCUUGGGCCAAUAUAAUUUACAGUUUCGAUA
Molecule: long non-coding RNA, 1128 nt
Filed under: Lathyrus oleraceus (garden pea)
Lineage: Eukaryota; Viridiplantae; Streptophyta; Magnoliopsida; Fabales; Fabaceae
Description: Pisum sativum (pea) long non-coding RNA (PSAT_LNC008278)
Source: RNAcentral